CAGCCGCCGCGGGAAUACGUAGGUGGCAAGCGUUGUCCGGAAUUAUUGGGCGUAAAGGGCUCGCAGGCGGUUUCUUAAGUCUGAUGUGAAAGCCCCCGGCUCAACCGGGGAGGGUCAUUGGAAACUGGGAAACUUGAGUGCAGAAGAGGAGAGUGGAAUUCCACGUGUAGCGGUGAAAUGCGUAGAGAUGUGGAGGAACACCAGUGGCGAAGGCGACUCUCUGGUCUGUAACUGACGCUGCGGAGCGAAAGCGUGGGGAGCGAACAGGAUUAGAUACCCGAGUAGUCCCUGUCUCUUAUAA
Molecule: ribosomal RNA, 301 nt
Filed under: uncultured bacterium
Lineage: Bacteria
Description: partial 16S ribosomal RNA
Rfam family: Bacterial small subunit ribosomal RNA
Source: RNAcentral